Molecule: non-coding RNA, 1732 nt
Organism: Oryza sativa Japonica Group (Japanese rice)
Lineage: Eukaryota; Viridiplantae; Streptophyta; Magnoliopsida; Poales; Poaceae
Source: RefSeq, a predicted model, not a curated record
GCGGCAUUAAUAGAUCGAUGGAUCGAUGGAUCGCGGCCAGCUCAGAUAUCUCUUCGCCUCUACUCCGCCGGGAGCAACAUGUGUCGCGGCUUUUGCUUCGCUUCCACGGCCACAUGCCGCGCCACGGGCACCCGCGCGCGCGCGCGCCCGCGCGCCGUCCUCACGCCGCGUCCGCCGCCCAGAUCCGGCGCACGCUCCUCCCCCUUUUGAGCCGCCAUCGCCGGCACCGCCGCGCGCGACGGCGCGGCGCAGCCGCACCGAUCUCGUGAAUUCCCCUCCCUGACCACUCUCCCGGCCCCGGCCCCAGCCACCACCUAAAUCGCAAUGCCUUUCUCCGCUAGCUCCCGCCGUCCCCUCCCCUCGACGGUGCCGGUGCGGCGCGCGCGUGGUUUCUCAGACACUCGAGGGAAUUAUGGGGGGUUUUGGAGAGUGAGACCACAAUGCCAGGAAAUUAUAGUCAACUUAAAGUUUGGUGGUAAUAUAUUAUGGUUCAUCAGCUUGCGUGCAUUAGUGGCAGUUGAUUUAAAAGGGCACGAUUCUGUCGGGAACUUCUGAAUUUUGUUUACAAAACUGUGCAGGAUUUACAAAUUAAGUAGUGGUGUUGGAUUGUGUCCACUUUUGUUUGAAUAAUAAUGCGAUGUAGGAGCUACAUUUCAGUGCUAUAAGAAGAAAUUCAUGCAAGGGGAUGGUGACAAGCUUGUGGCAGCAACUGCACAUCUUGCAAGAAAAUCUUUAGGGUUUUUCAGACCAUACCGAUGAUUUUCUUGCAAGUUGUGCAGUUGUUGUCUCAAGCUUGCUGCCUCCCUUUGCCAAAACUAUCAAGUGAGAAAGCAGGGUAGAGUUAUUCAAUUACAGGCACACAAGACAAAAUUAAAGUAAUAAACAUGUCUGACCAACAAACACAAUGAUUAAUAACAAAACUCUUGUGGCAUGAGAUAAUAUUGAAGCAUGAUGCUUACAACAGUUAUAAUAUGAAAACUAGAUGGAGGCAGGUACAUGUUUUGACAAGGUUGACAUUAUCUUAAUGGUUCUUCUAAAUCUUUUGAUUAACAAAAAUAUAUUUAUUUCCAUGGAUGCUAGUGCCACCAGGCAAUUGCAAAUGAACUCAUCAACAUAUGAACAUCUAGCAAGGUGAGUAAAGUCUGGUAAGGUGCUAGAUGAGUAAAGUCUGGUAAGGAAGUCAAACAUCUAAUAUGUAUGAAAAUUGUUCCUAGUGUUCUUAUAAUGAAGGCUGCACAUGUAAACUGUUUAGUCCAUCCUGAUCAUCUAUUGUUGUUUACUCUGAUCAGAUUACGUCGUCUCUACAUUGUGUAUUGGCUUCCACUGCUGAAUGUUUCUCUUAUUACCCAUGACAUGCUUGCUUGGAAGGGCAAUUUUGAGUUGAUCAUGAGGCCAGUCACAAUUCUUAGUAGUGAAUUAUGAAUUUCUAAAUGCAUUAUGUUAGUUUCAUGGCUUGAUCCUUGGUUUCUUUGUUUUGUAGGUUUGCAUGAAUUUCUCUAGGAAUGCCCAGUGAGUGAUCCUGUAAAUUUUGGAGUUGAUUGUUCAUCAGAAUAGCACUAUAAUUUUCCUGUCACCUGUGCUUUGGUAGCGGAACGUUCAUUGUCCCAUGCUACUCAGCUUUGUACUUUUGUAAAUCAAAUGAGACUGAAUAAUAUAUGUUUACUUUUGGAAGGAAAAAGAUGUGUAUGACUGUUCUCAAGCAAAUGAAAAAUUCCAGCUUUUAUGAAGUUAA